RNAcentral lists this ribosomal RNA (253 nucleotides) under uncultured bacterium. Its description in RNAcentral is "partial 16S ribosomal RNA". It matches the Rfam family "Bacterial small subunit ribosomal RNA", at positions 524 to 776 of the family's 1533-position model. The record is from RNAcentral.
UACGGAAGGUGCGAGCGUUAAUCGGAAUUACUGGGCGUAAAGCGCACGUAGGUGGUUUUAUAAGUCGGAUGUGAAAGCCCCGGGCUUAACCUGGGAAUUGCAUCUGAUACUGUAUGACUAGAGUAUGCUAGAGGGAAGUGGAAUUCCAGGUGUAGCGGUGAAAUGCGUAGAUAUCUGGAGGAACACCGGUGGCGAAGGCGGCAUCCUGGACCGACACUGACGCUGAGGAGCGAAAGCCAGGGGAGCAAACGGG